RNAcentral lists this long non-coding RNA (275 nucleotides) under Phaseolus vulgaris (common bean). RNAcentral's name for it is "long non-coding RNA (PVUL_LNC000966)". The record is from RNAcentral. Lineage: Eukaryota; Viridiplantae; Streptophyta; Magnoliopsida; Fabales; Fabaceae.
CGGUGUGUAUGGAACAGCUGGCAGCGGUGGAUGGGUUGUGUGAGUUGGUUAGGAAGGCAGUUGGGGCUGGGGAACCUGUUCGGAGAUACCAUGUGAACCUGUCUGUUUUCACUUCCAUUCCUGAUGCGUGGGGCAUUGAACAGGUGUUUCCGAUCAUCCCCAUUCAUCGGUUGGACGAGAAGCCUUCCGUUAGGGGUAUUCUCUCGGAUUUGACUUGCGACAGCGAUGGCAAGAUUGACAAAUUCAUCAACGGGGAGUCCAGCCUGCCGCUGCAU